UACGAAGGGGGCUAGCGUUGCUCGGAAUCACUGGGCGUAAAGGGUGCGUAGGCGGGUUUUUAAGUCAGGGGUGAAAUCCUGGAGCUCAACUCCAGAACUGCCUUUGAUACUGAAGAUCUUGAGUCCGGGAGAGGUGAGUGGAACUGCGAGUGUAGAGGUGAAAUUCGUAGAUAUUCGCAAGAACACCAGUGGCGAAGGCGGCUCACUGGCCCGUUACUGACGCUGAGGUGCGAAAGCGUGGGGAGCAAACAGG
RNAcentral lists this ribosomal RNA (253 nucleotides) under uncultured bacterium. Its description in RNAcentral is "partial 16S ribosomal RNA". It matches the Rfam family "Bacterial small subunit ribosomal RNA", at positions 524 to 776 of the family's 1533-position model. The record is from RNAcentral.